RNAcentral lists this transfer RNA (65 nucleotides) under Pseudoides sp. BMNH 850825. Its description in RNAcentral is "tRNA-Asn". Lineage: Eukaryota; Metazoa; Arthropoda; Insecta; Coleoptera; Chrysomelidae. The record is from RNAcentral.
UUAAUUGAAACCAAAGUAGAGGUCUAUCACUGUUAAUGAUAACAAUGAAUCAAAUUCCAAUUAAA